This 52-nucleotide small RNA is filed under the name Mytilus galloprovincialis (Mediterranean mussel). The record is from RNAcentral. Lineage: Eukaryota; Metazoa; Mollusca; Bivalvia; Mytilida; Mytilidae.
UAUUUAGUCUAAGUAUAUGAUAAGAAAAAUUUAUCAUAUACUUAGACUAAAU